This 427-nucleotide ribosomal RNA is filed under the name uncultured eukaryote. Its description in RNAcentral is "bacterial SSU rRNA". It matches the Rfam family "Eukaryotic small subunit ribosomal RNA", at positions 592 to 1018 of the family's 1831-position model. The record is from RNAcentral.
CAAUAGCGUAUAUUAAAGUUGUUGCAGUUAAAAGCUCGUAGUUGGAUUUCUGGUCGGAGCGACCGGUCGGCGUCCUUUGUGGCGUGUGCACUGUUGUCGGCUCCGCCCAUCCUAGUGGGAAGGCGCGUUGGCAUUCAUUUGUCGGCGCGUGGCCCCGCUACGUUUACUGUGAAAAAUUAGAGUGUUUAAAGCAGGCUUAUGCCGUUGAAUAUAUUAGCAUGGAAUAAUAAGAUAGGACUUUGGAACUAUUUUGUUGGUUUGCGUUACAAAGUAAUGAUUAAUAGGGACAGUUGGGGGUAUUCGUAUUUCGUUGUCAGAGGUGAAAUUCUUGGAUUUCCGAAAGACGAACUACUGCGAAAGCAUUUACCAAGGAUGUUUUCAUUAAUCAAGAACGAAAGUUAGGGGAUCGAAGAUGAUUAGAUACCAU